GUGAGGAAUAUUGGUCAAUGGGCGGGAGCCUGAACCAGCCAAGUCGCGUGAAGGAAGAAGGAUCUAUGGUUCGUAAACUUCUUUUGCAGGGGAAUAAAGUGCAGGACGUGUCCUGUUUUGUAUGUACCCUGAGAAUAAGGAUCGGCUAACUCCGUGCCAGCAGCCGCGGUAAUACGGAGGAUCCGAGCGUUAUCCGGAUUUAUUGGGUUUAAAGGGUGCGUAGGUGGUUUGAUAAGUCAGCGGUGAAAGUUUGCAGCUUAACUGUAAAGAUGCCGUUGAAACUGUCGGACUUGAGUGUAAAUGAGGUAGGCGGAAUGCGUGGUGUAGCGGUGAAAUGCAUAGAUAUCACGCAGAACUCCGAUUGCGAAGGCAGCUUACUAAGCUACAACUGACACUGAAGCACGAAAGCGUGGGGAUCAAACAGGAUUAGAAACCCCAGUAGUCC
This 445-nucleotide ribosomal RNA is filed under the name uncultured bacterium. Its description in RNAcentral is "partial 16S ribosomal RNA". It matches the Rfam family "Bacterial small subunit ribosomal RNA", at positions 354 to 796 of the family's 1533-position model. The record is from RNAcentral.